CCUACGGGUGACUGCAGUGGGGGAUAUUGCACAAUGGGGGGAACCCUGAUGCAGCGACGCCGCGUGGGUGAAGGAGUAUUUCGGUAUGUAAAGCCCUAUCGGCAGGGAAGAAAUUUGACGGUACCUAACUAUGAAGCCCCGACUAACUACGGUCCAGCAGCCGCGGGAAUACGUAUGGGGCAAGCGGUAACCGGAUUCACGGGGUGUAAAGGGAGCGUAGUCGGCGAUGCAAGCCAGGGGUGAAAGCCCGGGGCCCAACCCCGGGAUGGCCCUUGGAACUGGAUGGCUGGAGUUCGGGAGGGGUAGGCGGAAUUCCUGGUGUAGCGGUGAAAUGCGUAGAUAUCAGGAGGAACACCAGAGGCGAAGGCGGCCUGCUGGACCGAGACUGACGUUGAGGCUCGAAAGCGUGGGGAGCGAACAGGAUUAGAUACCCCAGUAGUC
Molecule: ribosomal RNA, 441 nt
Filed under: uncultured bacterium
Lineage: Bacteria
Description: partial 16S ribosomal RNA
Rfam family: Bacterial small subunit ribosomal RNA
Source: RNAcentral